AGCGUUUCCCAAGUUUUCAACCUUGUUCAGGACAAUGGGGCUGCGGCACUUGCCGGUGGUGAACGCCGUGGGAGAGAUCGUUGGGAUCAUCACCCGACACAACCUGACGUACGAAUUCCUGCAGGCCCGGCUGCGGCAGCACUACCAGACCAUCUGAGGCUCGGCCUCAUCCACAGGCCAGCGCCCUCCCGGAGCUUUUGGCGGGGCUGCCCCAGGGCACAGCAGAGCCCGUCACCCCUCGCUCGGAAAGCCUGCAGUCAUCGAACGCUUGCUGGUCUAGAUCCUGGGAUGGUUUGGCCCGUCAGAGUUUGGACUUGUCUGACUUUCUCAUCAAGUACCUUCCUGUUCCCUGCUCCCCGAGCUCCUUCCAUCCAGGUCGGCACAGGCCCCAGCCCCUGCCCCACAAAUGCCAGGACCCGAGAGAGGGGUCAGGCUCGCCGCUAGAGAGUGACACCCAGAGCAGGUUCCUGCCCUUCCGCUGCUUUCGUGGGGGACCCAGCUCUGCCGUAAACCAUGAGGGAGGGAUGUGGCCUCAGCAAACCCCGGGGAAGCGCCAGUUGCAAAGUGAAGUGACUUUACUGGCCCGGGAGCUGGGCACCGAGAGGACGGCCAUAUUCAGGGAGGCCCUCCUCCGCGGCCCCUCAAUCUGCAGCUUCACUGGGGGGAUGCGCUGCUGCCGGGGGGAGCUCAGCUCUGGCCCCUGUGGUUUCAGUCUCCUUAGAACCACCACCCCCAAGAAGCACAAAGCAUUAACCCCACUAAUAAUCCCUGAGCAGUGGAUCUGACCAUGGGGCCAGCUUUCCAUCUGCCCUGGUUUUAACAUUUCAGCUUUCUCUUCAUUUCCCAAGUGACCCACGGUCCCCUGGUGACCCAUUUUUACCCCAUUCGUUCCUGCUCCUUUUCACCUCCACUGAAUCACUAAAAUUUCCCCAUGUUUGCCUGCAUCUUCCUGGCAAAGCCCCGAGGAUCUUGAUGCCCCCCCCCAAGUUAACCAAGAGCAGGCCCCCAAUUUAAGAGCAGGGCCCCUAGAUAAACCGCUCGGCUCUGGAGAACGGUACGGUUACUUCCAAAUGGGAAAGAGUGAGUCUGAGCCAGCGACCACCACAAGGUACGAGAUGCGGCUUGAAAGGCCUGAGUGUGGCGACGAAGUAAAUGCGUGUUCGAGGACGCGGGUGUCCGCACCCCACAGACCCCUGUCACCUCCCACUGCCACCCCCCAAUCGGCUGAGGGGCUCAGCGAUGAAACUCAGGAUGCUUCCUGCUGGGACAUGCCCGAGGCUAUAGCAUCAAACCAGGAAGCCUCCUCUGUGCCAGUGACUCAGCUUCUCCAGGCGCUGGUCCUCUGCACAGGCCCCGAGUGGGCCUUUGGGCGUCGGCAUUUGCUCUCACUGGCCUCCGCUCUCUACACGAUCAUCAGCAUCCUGGGCCUUCAGGAAACCCCAGGCAGGUGGGCCUUGCACUCGAGGUGGCGUUCAUUGGCUUUUCAUUCCCUCGUGUUUUAACCUGGGAGUUGCCUGAGGGCGUCCGGGCCUGGCCCUGGCGGCACUUCUCGCCCUCCGCCUCGAGUUGACUUCGAUGGGAAGACCCUUUCCAGGGGUGGGUGUCAGCCUUUGCUCUGCCCGCCCAGGUCUUGGCUCAACACACUCCAGUGAACAAUCCCACUUAGUGAGGGGCCUUUUCCAGCAGACGGCCCUCCGCCCCAUCUUAUCUCUUCGACCAAAAGUACUUCGAGGUCUGAGUGUGUCAGCUUCCUGGAGGUACUUGAUUUGUGAAACGUGAUGAAACCCCCACUGCAUCGUUCGGGAAAUCACAAGGACCAAAGAGGCCAGCCCUUCUCACCAUGGUGUGAGCCAGCCGCCACUUCGCUUUAAAGAGUGUUCAGAGCUUGACCGCCUUCUUUCCUCCUUUCGUGAAGAAGGGGACCAGGAGCAUGGUGUGACCCCCUCACGGGAACUGGACCCUCUUCCCAGCCCUCCCUGAAAUGGGCCAGGCCGGGUUCUGCAGGGGGUCCGGAGGCCUCUUGUCCUCGGCUGGGUCACCAGGAAAUUGCCCCUCGUGCACAUCGCAUUGCUUUUAAGUCACCAGGCAUUUGUUCCCUUCGGUGUGGCCCAGAGGUAGACGACAGAAUGCAGAUGCCUUCCCCCUGGAGCUGGCUGGACGGCUGCCAGGGAGGCCCGGGCCCCUCGUGAAAGGCGCUUCCUGUCCCCUGUGACGGCCGUCCUCUCCUGGUGCCCAAAGACAGCCAGGCCCACUCGCAGCAGAAUCCUGGAAGCCCGCUCCUCGGAAGUCUGCUGGAAACCUCCAUCUCCAGUCCUCUCCUGGUGCCAGCAGCCCCGUGCCUCCGGGGAUCUGGUCCCUCCAUAGAGGACGGCACAGGGCUCGGGCUUGGCUAGUGGUGACUGUUUGGUCUCAGUGUGGUGGUUCGUGGUCCCCGGCUGUGGUCAGGGGAGAUGGGGGUAGAGUCCCCACGGCUGGAGGACUUGCACUCUGAGAGGUGAUUUGCUCAUGACCUUGCUUAACGAGUGGCUCCGGCCGGAAUGGACAUGGCCUGACCCAGCCGACCACAUGGCAUGUCCGAUGUGAGGUUGCACACCAACACCACCCUGGGUGUCGGGAAAGGCCGGGAGCGGACGGCCCGUGACGUUCGUGUGCGGAUUGCACGCCUCCUGCGGGCCUUGGCCGUUGGGACAGCAGCAGCUUCCUUUUUGUGUUUGCACUGGUUGUUUAUACGUAACCUUAGCUAAUUCCACUGUGUAUAUAAAUUGUAUUUUUUUAAUUUGUAAAAUCCUAUUUUUAUUUGAACUUUUAGAACUUGGAAGUUCUCAUUAUAACCUUACCGCGUCGGAAUAAAACGUCUCCAUCGGUCUCCUUCA
Myotis lucifugus (little brown bat) is the source of this 2873-nucleotide long non-coding RNA. RefSeq lists it as uncharacterized. NCBI's taxonomy places the organism in Eukaryota, Metazoa, Chordata, Mammalia, Chiroptera, Vespertilionidae. The record is from RefSeq and is a predicted model, not a curated record. The transcript is spliced from 2 exons.